UUGUGGGUUGUGCUGCUGCAUAAUGUUAGAGGUGUAAUUUUCCCUCCCUGCCACUAGGAGGCGAGUAUGCCUUGAGAUGACUUUCUGUUAGUUAACAUUUCCUGUUGUGAAAGCCAUUACUCACGAGGCAACCGCCAAAUUAGCUGAAAGAUCCUGGAUCUGAAAUCUGUGAAAUACGGCCGUGGGAAGCUGCGUCAGCCUGGCGAGCUAUCUCACCACGAGCUCCGAUUGGUUUUUGACCAGGACCGGAUCAUUUGAGAUCUGAACCCUGUGGGUUCAGUGGCGAGCCAAUCCCAAGAGAGUGACUGUAGACGGACCAGAGUACGGUGUGGCCAGCCGUGGGAUCCAUCUUCAGCGAACCUCAG
Molecule: long non-coding RNA, 365 nt
Organism: Oreochromis aureus
Lineage: Eukaryota; Metazoa; Chordata; Actinopteri; Cichliformes; Cichlidae
Exons: 3
Source: RefSeq, a predicted model, not a curated record